Molecule: ribosomal RNA, 169 nt
Filed under: uncultured alpha proteobacterium WkB44
Lineage: Bacteria; Pseudomonadati; Pseudomonadota; Alphaproteobacteria
Description: partial 16S ribosomal RNA
Rfam family: Bacterial small subunit ribosomal RNA
Source: RNAcentral
CCUACGGGAGGCAGCAGUGGGGAAUAUUGGACAAUGGGCGCAAGCCUGAUCCAGCCAUGCCGCGUGAGUGAUGAAGGCCCUAGGGUUGUAAAGCUCUUUUGUGCGGGAAGAUAAUGACGGUACCGCAAGAAUCAGCCCCGGCUAACUUCGUGCCAGCAGCCGCGGUAAU